CUUCUUUUUUUUUAGUUCUUCCCCCCACUCCCCCCGAUCUGCCCUAGCCGCCCCCACCCUUCGUCGCGUGUUCAUCGCAGUUUUUGCCCAGCCAACACCGACCACCGUUCGUCGACCUCGAAGCACUGCAUGUCCACCUUCAACCGGUCGCACUGCUGGAUCCAACCCUCACGCUGCCGCUUCAGUCGUUGCCUUCAGCCGCUUCCAGUCGCUCGCCAUCGAUCGAAGUUCUUCAUUCAGUCGUUCUUCGUCGAGCCCUGCUGUUUGUCCACCGUCAACGAUCGAGGCUUGCCGCGCGCGAACCCACCGACAAUCGUCACUUCCAGACGCGUCAGAUUGCACUUUCCUGCAGCCAAUCAGUCGUUCUAGCAGUUUUCUACCCGCGUCGUGGUUCUGAUCGACCUCAGCCUCGGAUUUCCCCGGGUUCUUGGAUUCUUUUUUGUUAGUGAUUAGUUGUUGUAAGUGGAAUUUGUUUGCCAAUCAGAGUUCUAUUUUGGGUGUUUUAGGUCAUUUUGGAAUGCCAUUGUUAUUGAAUUAAGUUUUGGCCAAGAACUGAUUUAUCCAUAAAUUUUCAGGUUGGAUUCCAGAAUUUGGAUUGGUUAGAGCCAACUGUCCGGUGAGAUUAAGACUCUAUUGAUAAGUUUUCGUUGCUUUGUUUGCAGGGAGCGAGUUCAGUUUAAGCUUCAACUUUUGGGAGUUGUUCCAAGAUUGUUUGAGGUAAGAGUAGGGACGCUCUGGCGAAUGACAAGUGGAAUCCGUGAUCGAGACACUGGGACAUGUUUUAUGCUUCCGCUCAUGGUGUUUAGAUUUCUUUCAUGUUUUUCCACUUCCAGUCUUCAUGUUUGAAAACUUUUACAGUUUUCUAGACUCAUUAAAUUUCUAAUUAUGAUUUAUGGGUACCUUGUUAUUUGACUUUUAUUAAGUUUUAAUGAAAAUAUUUUAUUUGACUUUA
This is a non-coding RNA of Benincasa hispida (wax gourd), 952 nucleotides long. NCBI's taxonomy places the organism in Eukaryota, Viridiplantae, Streptophyta, Magnoliopsida, Cucurbitales, Cucurbitaceae. The record is from RefSeq and is a predicted model, not a curated record.